This 1946-nucleotide long non-coding RNA is filed under the name Panax ginseng (ginseng). RNAcentral describes it as "long non-coding RNA (PGIN_LNC007028)". The record is from RNAcentral. Lineage: Eukaryota; Viridiplantae; Streptophyta; Magnoliopsida; Apiales; Araliaceae.
UCCCUAAUUUAGCAUAUAUAGUCGUGUGGCGUGGUCUGGAGAAAGAGAGGCCAAAUUUAGGAUCGAGUGUCUUCUCUUCCUUGGCCAAAGUUCACAUGUCGAUCAAUCCCACCAUGUAGCUUCGCUUUAUGUCCUCCAUCACAGGUACAUGUCCCUCUUCUCUCCUUUCUUUUAUCUAUCCUUGUUCUUUUCUCUCCUAUAUCUCCUACAUCUAUCCUCUAGAAUUGAUUUUCGUUUUUUAGGGUAUUUUUCCUUCUUUUGUUAUCUUUUAAUUCGGUAAUAAAUCUAAUCUCAGUUUAUUUAUUUGUAAUAUUUGCACCUUAUUCAUUCAUUUGUACUAAAUCAAAUCUGAUUUUGGUUAUAUGUGGUGAUUUUGGUGGUCAAUCAAUUUUUAUUUUGGAUAUAUGUGCACCACAUGUUUGAUGUUUUGUCCAUCUGUUGCAAAAUUUUGAAAUCCUUAUGUUUACAGUCUAAUAUGAUUGUAUACAUAUGUAAAAAGUUUUAUACCUUUAGGUUUGCGUAUUAGGUGUCACAACAAAUAAGUUCCCUAGUUCUCACACAGGUGAAUUUGACAGAUGACAACUACACUAAUAAUAAAACAUAUAUAAUAAACACAAUACAUUAAAUGAUUGUAUAAUGAUUGAGUUAGAAUAUGAACAGUUUUUUUGUACUCUAUUAGUCUCAAAAUGAGUGUCCACAUUUAAAAGUUAGCUUUUAAGAAGAGCUUGAAUAUAGCAUUAUCAACUGCCAAGAUCACAACAUACAGGAUGUAAUCAAGGUUUCAAGCAAUUUUAAAAAUUUAGCCUAGAAAAUGUAUCAUGAUAAGAUUAUAAAGCAAAUGAAGCAAUAUCUCUGACACCUUAUAUACCUUUAAGUUUGGGUAUUAGAUGUCACAACCCCACUGUUCAAAUAAGUUCCCUAGUUCUCACACAGGUGAAUUUGACAAAUGACAACUACACUAGCUGAAUAGAGAAUUCAUGUUCUUUACCUAAUCAACUUUUUGACCUUUUUCCUAAAUAACCUCAUCAUUCUAGUUUUCCCAUUUUUUACAAAUUAAUUGUAAAGUUUUUAUUUUUGUGAUUAAUGCAGAUUAACUACGAAGUUUACACAUGAAUAUUUGCACUUACUCACCAUAUACUGAUUAGAUACAUAUUUCAGUCUUUUGAAGCUUUCGAGUGUCCACAUAGGUACAACAUGAAUAUGGCUUUCCUGUUCAUUCAAUGUGAACCACUGCAUAUCUUCUUUAGGGAGAUCUAAGGAUUCCAAAAGACGCAGCUUUGUAGUAUUGACAUAGAUUUUCUUGCGCAAAACCCGAGCAAACCUCUAUAAAUAGCCUUUCUUUUCCUAUUUUCAAAAAGAAACAAAUGGAAGGAAAAGAAUAAAUGUUUCUGUAGAGAUGAGAAUGUUGUAUAAUAGAAAUUAUGGUACCAGAUAUAUUAUACUGUGGAUGGACCCUCAGUGGGGAGCAAACCCAGAGAGAGAACCUAUUGUAUAGCUACUAAUCAAAAAUAGAGUUCUUGGGUUGAAUGCUUCAGCCUGGAUGACAUCAAUGACAAAUUGAAUAACAGCCUCCUGCUUUGGAAAGUCAUACUGCAAAGAAUAGUUUAUAAACUUCCAUCAUGAUCAUCCAGUAAAAAAAAUGGAAGUAGCUUAAUUAAAAUAUGUACAUGAACAAUUUUUCUCUCUACAUAUAUAGUUAGGAAAGUAGUAGUAACAUGCUCCUGAAAGUAUGAAAACUUAUCUACAGUAAAGAUCGACAAUAAAUCAUAUUUUAUACAAGUGAAUGAACAUACAGGUUUAAAUGAAGGGAGUGUAAUUUAUUUUUUGAAUUUCGAAGAGAUGCUUAUAAUAUAUGUCAUUAUUACAAUUAAAAUGGCAAUCGUAAAAUGUCUUAAGGUGGGAAAAAAUAUCAUGUCAGUCGAAAAAAUAAUAUAGUUACUAUAGAU